RNAcentral lists this small RNA (29 nucleotides) under Bombyx mori (domestic silkworm). RNAcentral describes it as "ovarian small RNA-26335". The record is from RNAcentral. Lineage: Eukaryota; Metazoa; Arthropoda; Insecta; Lepidoptera; Bombycidae.
UCAUUCGUUGCAGAUGUUGCCCUCCCAGU